CCUACGGGAGGCUGCAGUGAGGAAUAUUGGUCAAUGGACGAGAGUCUGAACCAGCCAAGUAGCGUGAAGGAUGACUGCCCUAUGGGUUGUAAACUUCUUUUAUAUGGGAAUAAAAUGUUCCACGUGUGGGAUUUUGUAUGUACCAUAUGAAUAAGGAUCGGCUAACUCCGUGCCAGCAGCCGCGGUAAUACGGAGGAUCCGAGCGUUAUCCGGGUUUAUUGGGUUUAAAGGGAGCGUAGGUGGAUUGUUAAGUCAGUUGUGAAAGUUUGCGGCUCAACCGUAAAAUUGCAGUUGAAACUGGCAGUCGUGAGUACAGUAGAGGUGGGCGGAAUUCGUGGUGUAGCGGUGAAAUGCUUAGAUAUCACGAAGAACUCCGAUUGCGAAGGCAGCUCACUGGACUGCAACUGACACUGAGGCUCGAAAGUGUGGGUAUCAAACAGGAUUAGAUACCCCAGUAGUC
Molecule: ribosomal RNA, 460 nt
Filed under: uncultured bacterium
Lineage: Bacteria
Description: partial 16S ribosomal RNA
Rfam family: Bacterial small subunit ribosomal RNA
Source: RNAcentral